This 253-nucleotide ribosomal RNA is filed under the name uncultured bacterium. RNAcentral describes it as "partial 16S ribosomal RNA". It matches the Rfam family "Bacterial small subunit ribosomal RNA", at positions 524 to 776 of the family's 1533-position model. The record is from RNAcentral.
UACAGAGGGGGCAAGCGUUGUUCGGAAUUACUGGGCGUAAAGCGCACGCAGGCGGUCUGCUAAGUUUGGAGUGACAGUUGGUGGCUCAACCACCAAAGUGCUUUGAAAACUGACAGACUUGAGGGCUUCAGAGGGACACGGAAUUCCGGGUGGAGUGGUGAAAUGCGUAGAGAUCCGGAGGAACACCGAAGGCGAAGGCAGUGUCCUGGGGAGUACCUGACGCUCAGGUGCGAAAGCUAGGGGAGCGAACGGG